Molecule: ribosomal RNA, 180 nt
Filed under: uncultured bacterium
Lineage: Bacteria
Description: partial 16S ribosomal RNA
Rfam family: Bacterial small subunit ribosomal RNA
Source: RNAcentral
CCUACGGGAGGCAGCAGUGAGGAAUAUUGGUCAAUGGACGAGAGUCUGAACCAGCCAAGUAGCGUGCAGGAAGACGGCCCUAUGGGUUGUAAACUGCUUUUAUAAGGGAAUAAAGUGAGAGUCGUGACUCUUUUUGCAUGUACCUUAUGAAUAAGGACCGGCUAAUUCCGUGCCAGCAGC